This 492-nucleotide ribosomal RNA is filed under the name uncultured bacterium. Its description in RNAcentral is "partial 16S ribosomal RNA". It matches the Rfam family "Bacterial small subunit ribosomal RNA", at positions 29 to 507 of the family's 1533-position model. The record is from RNAcentral.
AUUGAACGCUGGCGGCAUGCUUUACACAUGCAAGUCGAACGGUAACAGGCCUUCGGGUGCUGACGAGUGGCGAACGGGUGAGUAAUGCAUCGGAACGUGCCCAGAGGUGGGGGAUAACGCAGCGAAAGCUGUGCUAAUACCGCAUGUGACCUGAGGAUGAAAGCGGGGGACCAAGCAGCAAUGUUUGGCCACGCGCCUCUGGAGCGGCCGAUGUCAGAUUAGGUAGUUGGUGGGGUAAAGGCCUACCAAGCCGACGAUCUGUAGCUGGUCUGAGAGGACGACCAGCCACACUGGGACUGAGACACGGCCCAGACUCCUACGGGAGGCAGCAGUGGGGAAUUUUGGACAAUGGGCGCAAGCCUGAUCCAGCAAUGCCGCGUGCGGGAAGAAGGCCUUCGGGUUGUAAACCGCUUUUGUACGGAACGAAAAGGCUCUGGCUAAUACCUGGGGCUGAUGACGGUACCGUAAGAAUAAGCACCGGCUAACUACGUG